This 376-nucleotide ribosomal RNA is filed under the name uncultured organism. Its description in RNAcentral is "partial 16S ribosomal RNA". It matches the Rfam family "Bacterial small subunit ribosomal RNA", at positions 527 to 896 of the family's 1533-position model. The record is from RNAcentral.
GUAGGUGGCAAGCGUUGUCCGGAAUUAUUGGGCGUAAAGCGCGCGCAGGCGGUUCUUUAAGUCUGAUGUGAAAGCCCACGGCUCAACCGUGGAGGGUCAUUGGAAACUGGAGAACUUGAGUACAGAAGAGGAAAGCGGAAUUCCACGUGUAGCGGUGAAAUGCGUAGAGAUGUGGAGGAACACCAGUGGCGAAGGCGGCUUUCUGGUCUGUAACUGACGCUGAGGCGCGAAACGCGUGGGGAGCAAACAGGAUUAGAUACCCUGGUAGUCCACGCCGUAAACGAUGAGUGCUAAGUGUUAGGGGGGUUUUCCGCCCCCCUUAGUGCUGCAGCUAACGCAUUAAGCACUCCCGCCUGGGAGUACGGCCGCAAGGCUG